GCCGAAGUGGCGGAAAGGCAGACGCGGUGGUCUCAAAAACCACUGGGGGCAACUCCUUGUGGGUUCGAAUCCCACCUUCGGCA
RNAcentral lists this transfer RNA (83 nucleotides) under Chloroflexota bacterium. RNAcentral describes it as "Chloroflexi bacterium (anaerobic digester metagenome) tRNA-Leu". It matches the Rfam family "tRNA". From Rfam's summary of the family: Transfer RNA (tRNA) molecules are approximately 80 nucleotides in length. The record is from RNAcentral. Lineage: Bacteria; Bacillati; Chloroflexota.